RNAcentral lists this transfer RNA (75 nucleotides) under Pseudomonadota bacterium. Its description in RNAcentral is "tRNA-Glu". It matches the Rfam family "tRNA". From Rfam's summary of the family: Transfer RNA (tRNA) molecules are approximately 80 nucleotides in length. Their secondary structure includes four short double-helical elements and three loops (D, anti-codon, and T loops). Further hydrogen bonds mediate the characteristic L-shaped molecular structure. tRNAs have two regions of fundamental functional importance: the anti-codon, which is responsible for specific mRNA codon recognition, and the 3' end, to which the tRNAs corresponding amino acid is attached (by aminoacyl-tRNA synthetases). tRNAs cope with the degeneracy of the genetic code in two manners: having more than one tRNA (with a specific anti-codon) for a particular amino acid; and 'wobble' base-pairing, i.e. permitting non-standard base-pairing at the 3rd anti-codon position. The record is from RNAcentral. Lineage: Bacteria; Pseudomonadati; Pseudomonadota.
GACCCCUUCGUCUAACGGUCAGGACACGACCCUCUCAAGGUCGCAAUACGGGUUCGAUUCCCGUAGGGGUCGCCA